Molecule: long non-coding RNA, 934 nt
Filed under: Panax ginseng (ginseng)
Lineage: Eukaryota; Viridiplantae; Streptophyta; Magnoliopsida; Apiales; Araliaceae
Description: long non-coding RNA (PGIN_LNC004793)
Source: RNAcentral
AAAUUAAACAGGCAGCAACAAGCCCAACAUGCAACAAGCAGCAACAAGCCAACACUACUGGCUGACUUAGCAACAAGCCCAACAUGCAACAGGACAGGCAGCAACAAGAAGAACUGAAGAAGCCAACAACAUGGUGUUUGUCUGUUUAAGAUAUCCCAAGUUCACAACAACAGCAACAGACAACACUACAACAGGAACAAAAACCUAUUUUCCAUCUGGCUGAACCCAACCCUCGUGACUACCCAUGUAAUUGUUCCAUUUUGUUCACCUGUUAUCUGAAAAACCUAUUUUCCUCUGUUCUUUCCAAAUUGAUAGAGCAAAAGAAAACAAAAAAAAAUAAUAUGAGCAAUCUAAUAUCUGAAGUAAAAUGAACAAAUCAAAGUAAUGGGGAAGGAGCAAGGGAUAGUGAAACACGAAAGAGCAUGAAAAGUAUAAAAAAGAAAACACAUUUAAUUAAGCACAACAAUAGUUAUAUAUACACACAUAUAUUUGAAAAUCUAAUACCAAGUGAACUAAUAUCCCCAAAUAUUUGGCAGUCGUUAGCUUUAGAAUGGAGGCAGGCCAAAUUGCUAAUUACAGUCAGGUAAUUGUAGAAUGAUUCUGUUUAUGAGCUUCAAUAGAACAUCAUUAUGCCAUCAGAUUCAGGGUAAGUCGAGAACAUACCAAGACAGACAGUGACCACUGAGACGUCAAGUCGGCGACGACGAGAGGCGCGAGAGACAGACUGUGACCACUGACCAGUGAGCCAGAGUCAAUGAGGGUCGAGACGAGAGACGGACUGACGGAGACCGCGUCGGAGACUGAGACGGGGAGAGGUGGAGGCCGCGCCGGAGAUUGAAAGUUGAGACUGUAGAAGUGUCGAGACUCGAUCGAGAGGGCAAGAGGCUGAGGAGUGACUAGUGAGGACUAAGGAGUGAGGAAUCGAGAAUUAGAG